This 253-nucleotide ribosomal RNA is filed under the name uncultured bacterium. RNAcentral describes it as "partial 16S ribosomal RNA". It matches the Rfam family "Bacterial small subunit ribosomal RNA", at positions 524 to 776 of the family's 1533-position model. The record is from RNAcentral.
UACGAAGGGGGCUAGCGUUGUUCGGAAUUACUGGGCGUAAAGCGCACGUAGGCGGAUUGUUAAGUCAGAGGUGAAAUCCCGGAGCUCAACUUCGGAACUGCCUUUGAUACUGGCAAUCUAGAGUCCGGAAGAGGUUAGUGGAAUUCCCAGUGUAGAGGUGAAAUUCGUAGAUAUUGGGAAGAACACCAGUGGCGAAGGCGGCUAACUGGUCCGGUACUGACGCUGAGGUGCGAAAGCGUGGGUAGCAAACAGG